AUUUGGAUCAUGUAUCCUUUCAUAAUCGAAUCAUUGAUACAAGACAACACCCAUAAUUGCACAAACAGAGAGAAGAAAAAAACUUAGUACUAUCGAACUGCCACACAACUACUCGACAGGAAAGUGAGACCAAACAUCUUGAUCAAGUGUAGGAGCGAAUAUCCUCGGUCAAAACUUGAAAAUGUAAUUUUGGCGGGGAAAGCAAGUCUCUAACAACAAAAUAGGCAAGCAUCCUAAAAGGCUAAAUCUCAGGCAACUCGGAUUAUUCUGGGCAAUAAAUUUUGUAUACUCGUGCCAUAAAUAAACAAUGGCUUCAAAUGGAAAUUAUGUGAUUGAUGCCAAAUCUUUUGGGAUGCAAAUUGCUGCAAUAUCCAAGUGUUAGUACCAUAACAGAUCAACGCUUGACCCAUUGGUAGCUCUUUCUUGCUUUUGCUUUACCAGGUUUUUUCCUCUCCACAACUCUUGAGUCUCUCGUCAAGUAGCCACCUUCUCUGAGGGGAGGUCGCAACUCCGGGUCCCAAUUCUGCAAUGCCCUGCUGAUGCCGAGCUGAAUUGCACCAACUUGACCUGACACACCCCCUCCUUUUACAGUACAUCUCACAUUCCACAUGCCCAAUGUCUUAGUUUCAGUAAAAGGUCGAAGAAGAACAGCCCGGUGAUCAAGCAUUGGGAAGUAUACGUCAAACUCUUUGUCAUUCACCAUAAAUUUCCCACCACCUGGUUCAACCCAAACACGGGCUAUACUACACUUCCUCCUUCCAGUCCCAUAAGCCCUUCCCUUUUCAUCUACUUGUUUGACUCGUGCCUUGGCUACUUCCUCUUGUUUUUGGCGCUCUAUGUCAGCUCUGCUUGACUUCCUAGUAUUCUUUUCAUAACGCAUAUCUUCGAUUUCACUUAAAGGAGGAAGUCCUUUAAUGCCAUCCAGGUCCUUCAGCGCAAGCAAACUGUCCAUCAUUUCGUCCGUGAUUCCAGAUGCCGCUAUUAGAUCCCCAAAUGCACGAUUAGGACCUUUAAGAACCCCAGUAAGAACUUGUUCUUCCAAUUCAAGCAGCUUUUUCUCCUCAGCACUCUGUAUUUUAGCCUCCUCUUCAGAACCCAUCAGUUCACUUUCUACCUUAACAUCUUCUCCAAUAUCAAACACCCGUUCUCCUUCCCCUUCCGCAUCAAAACUCCAAGGUUUAUACCCUUCAGCAGUAGCCCAAAUCUCCUCCCCACCACCAACACCAUCCUUCACUUCACCAGCUUCCUUAAACACAUCACCACUCUCUUCUUCUACAUUACCCCAAGACACAUCAUCCUUUCCUAUUCCCUCGACACUUUCUGAGUCUUCAUUGAACACUGAUUGCUCAGUUUCAGAAGAGAGUUUCCAGAAAUCAGGAUCCGAAUUUCUGCCAUUACUGUUGUUAUUAUUGUUGUUGUUACGCGUGGAGAAGAAAUGGGGGAACAAAUAUGGCUUAGGGGAAAUGGGUUUAGGGUUUAUGAAGUGGGUUUUGGGAGAAAUUAGGGUUAACAGCCGGAGAUGUGAGGAUUUGGAGAUGAAACGAGAGAGCAUUGUGAACACAAACAGAGGAAGAGGAGAAG
RNAcentral lists this unclassified non-coding RNA (1581 nucleotides) under Hevea brasiliensis (rubber tree). Lineage: Eukaryota; Viridiplantae; Streptophyta; Magnoliopsida; Malpighiales; Euphorbiaceae. The record is from RNAcentral.